GAUGAACGCUGACAGAAUGCUUAACACAUGCAAGUCGACUUAAAGCAACUUCGGUUGUGGAAAGUGGCGGACGGGUGAGUAACGCGUAAAGAACUUGCCCUUCAGUCUGGGACAACCAUUGGAAACGAUGGCUAAUACCGGAUAUUAUGGAACUCUCGCAUGGGAGGAUCAUGAAAGCUAUAUGCGCUGAAGGAGAGCUUUGCGUUCCAUUAGCUAGUUGGUGAGGUAACGGCUCACCAAGGCGACGAUGGAUAGCCGGCCUGAGAGGGUGAUCGGCCACAAGGGGACUGAGACACGGCCCUUACUCCUACGGGAGGCAGCAGUGGGGAAUAUUGGACAAUGGACCAAAAGUCUGAUCCAGCAAUUCUGUGUGCACGAUGAAGGUUUUCGGAUCGUAAAGUGCUUUCAGUUGGGAAGAAGAAAGUGACGGUACCAACAGAAGAAGCGACGGCUAAAUACGUGCCAGCAGCCGCGGUAAUACGUAUGUCGCAAGCGUUAUCCGGAUUUAUUGGGCGUAAAGCGCGUCUAGGCGGGUUCAUAAGUCUGAUGUUAAAAUGCGGGGCUCAACUCCGUAUUGCGUUGGAAACUGUGAACCUAGAGUAUCAGAGAGGUGGGCGGAACUACAAGUGUAGAGGUGAAAUUCGUAGAUAUUUGUAGGAAUGCCGAUGGAGAAGUCAGCUCACUGGAUGAAUACUGACGCUAAAGCGCGAAAGCGUGGGUAGCAAACAGG
This 730-nucleotide ribosomal RNA is filed under the name uncultured bacterium. RNAcentral's name for it is "bacterial SSU rRNA". It matches the Rfam family "Bacterial small subunit ribosomal RNA", at positions 28 to 776 of the family's 1533-position model. The record is from RNAcentral.